This is a non-coding RNA of Vicugna pacos (alpaca), 1028 nucleotides long. The record is from RefSeq and is a predicted model, not a curated record. Lineage: Eukaryota; Metazoa; Chordata; Mammalia; Artiodactyla; Camelidae.
CCCACCAGUCCGGCUGGGAGGAGGAGGCCGGGCCGGUGCUCGUGCUGAGAGGGACGUGAGGAGCAGCCCCUCUUGCUGCAGCUUCGGGGGAACGAGCGGGCAGAGGUGGGAAGCGCGCCCUGCGGACUGGGUGGGGGCCCAGGACACCUCCAGAGCUGGUGUCGCGGGGAUCCCCCCCCCGAGUCUCCGGCGGCUCGGCGGUCACUUGCUGGGGGACGACGUCAGUCCUGGUGACCGCUGCGCAUGGGUCCCCACCUGCUGUAUCUGGACCCUGUGUGACGGACACUCACCCCAGGUUUGAUGUCAAGCGGGCCAGUCGGAGGACGGAAAAAUGAAAGGCAGAAAAGCGCCAUGUAAACAGGGCGGAGGUCGGAUUUCCCCACGGCGCUUCCAGAAAGUUGGGAUUGCUGACUAGUUAAUUUUGGUGGGACUCGAGCCCAAGGAUCUACUUGCCCUGGACUCCGGGCGCCGCCCUCGGGGAGCCUCAGUCUUCUCUGUGAAUUGAGGACCAGAAACCAUGUGACAUCCAAGAAAGCGCCCCAGCGGGAAGACAAGGACCUUCCCUCUCACCUGCCUACGCGAGCCCCAGACCGCCCGCCCAGCCUGAAGUGACUUCGAGGGGCUGCAGGUUUCUCAGUAUCACCGCUAAAAUCUCAAGGUCCUCCCCGUAGAUCAAGAAGUACCGGCAUCUCAUGAAUGAGCGGGACGGCAGUGGUAACGCAGCUGCGGGACGCUCGGGGGCCAGGACGUCCGAAUGGUGCGGUGGUCCCAUCCUGCGGCUCCAGCAUCCCCGCGGGCCGGGAGCAGAGGGCGCGACUGUGGACAAAAGUCAGUGUGUUUGUAUCGAUUCUCCCCUUACUGGCCCGGCCCAUGUGGAAAGAAGGAGCAGGCCCAGGGGAUCAGAGCAGUUCCUGCCUCACUCACAGGUCAUUUUGAGGAUGAAGUAAGAUGACGUGUGUGUAAAACGGGGCGCUGUGCCCGGCACGGUGGGCGUGUUUCCUCCUCUUCCUCCUCCACCGUCAGCAUGA